CUAAUUAAGGCCUACUAACUGUAUGACUACUGGCUAAUUAAGGCCUACUAACUGUAUUACUACUGGCUAAUUAAUUAAGGCCUACUAACUGUAUUACUACUGGCUAAUUAAGGCCUACUAACUGUAUUACUACUGGCUAAUUAAGGCCUACUAACUGUAUUACUACUGGCUAAUUAAUUAAGGCCUACUAGCUGUAUUACUACUGGCUAAUUAAGGCCUACUAACUGUAUUACUACUGGCUAAUUAAGGCCUACUAACUGUAUUAAUACUGGCUAAUUAAGGCCUACUAACUGUAUUACUACUGGCUAAUUAAGGCCUACUAACUGUAUUACUACUGGCUAAUUAAGGCCUACUAACUGUAUGACUACUGGCUAAUUAAGGCCUACUAACUGUAUUAAUACUGGCUAAUUAAGGACUAUUAACUGUAUUACUACUGGCUAAUUAAGGCCUACUAACUGUAUCCCACUGGCUCAGUAAGGCGAACUAACUGUAUGACUACUGGUUAAGUAAGGCCUACUAACUGUAUUAAUACUGGCUAAUGAAGGCCUACUAGCUGUAUUACUACUGGCUAAUUAAGGCCUACUAACUGUAUUAAUACUGGCUAAUUAAGGCCUACUACUGGCUAAUUAAGGCCUACUAACUGUAUGACUACUGGUUAAGUAAGGCCUAUUAACUGUAUUACUACUGGCUAAUUAAGGCCUACUAACUGUAUUAAUACAUUGCUAAUUAAGGCCUACUAACUGUAUGACUACUGGCUAAUUAAGGCCUACUAACUGAAUGACUACUGGCUAAUUAAGGCCUACUAACUGUAUUAGUACUGGCUAAUUAAGGCCUACUAACUGUAUGACUACUGGCUAAUUAAGGCCUACUAACUGUAUUAAUACUGGCUAAUUAAGGCCUACUAACUGUAUUAGUACUGGCUAAUUAAGGCCUACUAACUGUAUUACUACUGGCUCAGUAAGGAACACUAACUGUAUUCCUAUCACAAUAAAUAUGAUUUACUCCUACCUUCGUAUUGCUCUCUGUCUCAUCC
RNAcentral lists this long non-coding RNA (1033 nucleotides) under Salmo salar (Atlantic salmon). Its description in RNAcentral is "lncRNA (ENSSSAG00000089204.1)". Lineage: Eukaryota; Metazoa; Chordata; Actinopteri; Salmoniformes; Salmonidae. The record is from RNAcentral.